GACGAACGCUGGCGGCGUGCUUAACACAUGCAAGUCGAACGGAAAGGCCCCUUUGGGGGUACUCGAGUGGCGAACGGGUGAGUAACACGUGAGUAACCUGCCCUUGACUUCGGGAUAACUUCAGGAAACUGGGGCUAAUACCGGAUAGGAAUCCUUGCUGCAUGGUGGGGGUUGGAAAGCUUCGGCGGUUUUGGAUGGACUCGCGGCUUAUCAGCUUGUUGGUGGGGUAGUGGCUUACCAAGGCUUUGACGGGUAGCCGGCCUGAGAGGGCGACCGGCCACAGUGGGGCUGAGAUACGGCCCAGACUCCUCCGGGAGGCAGCAGUGGGGAAUAUUGCACGAUGGGCGGAAGCCUGAUGCAGCAACGCCGCGUGGGGGAUGACGGCCGUCGGGUUGUAAACCGCUUUCAGCAGGGGCGAAGCUUUUGUGACGGUACCUGCAGAAGAAGCACCGGCUAACUACGUG
RNAcentral lists this ribosomal RNA (464 nucleotides) under uncultured bacterium. RNAcentral's name for it is "partial 16S ribosomal RNA". It matches the Rfam family "Bacterial small subunit ribosomal RNA", at positions 28 to 507 of the family's 1533-position model. The record is from RNAcentral.